UACGUAGGGGGCUAGCGUUGUCCGGAAUCAUUGGGCGUAAAGCGCGCGUAGGCGGCCCGGUAAGUCCGCUGUAAAAGUCAAAGGCUCAACCUUUGAAUGUCAGUGGAUACUGCCGGGCUAGAGUCCGGAAGAGGCGAGUGGAACUCCUGGUGUAGCGGUGGAAUGCGCAGAUAUCAGGAGGAACACCGGUGGCGAAGGCGCCACUCUGGGCCGGUACUGACGCUGAGGAGCGAAAGCGUGGGUAGCAAACAGG
This 253-nucleotide ribosomal RNA is filed under the name uncultured bacterium. RNAcentral describes it as "partial 16S ribosomal RNA". It matches the Rfam family "Bacterial small subunit ribosomal RNA", at positions 524 to 776 of the family's 1533-position model. The record is from RNAcentral.